Molecule: long non-coding RNA, 1893 nt
Organism: Tyto alba (common barn owl)
Lineage: Eukaryota; Metazoa; Chordata; Aves; Strigiformes; Tytonidae
Exons: 6
Source: RefSeq, a predicted model, not a curated record
UGAAAAGUCUCUGAGCGCUCACCCGGCCGGGGGAAGUCUCAGCAGGGCCGUCAAGGUAAAUACCCGAAAUGCCGCUGCUGGAGUUUCGCAGGGACAUUUGAAGUAGCCGGAAAGGUAACGAUCGAGCGGCAAACCCAGGUAUUGCUACAAACGGCUGUAAAAAGGGAAGGAGCGCCAGUCGUUGGGAAUGUAAGUCCUGCUGAGAAAUUCGGGAGGAACUAGAUAUUUUCGGAGUCCCCUGGAGGAGAAAUGAAUUGUCUGUUUACUAUGGUAUCACGUCUUCAGCUGGCUUCUGAAUACAGUAGGUGAUUUCUGAACACCCAUCUAGCUGCCACACAGUGAAGAGUCCUGGAAGCAGAUGGGCUGACAACGGGCAUCUAGUCUGCCCAGCCAAAAGAUGCCUGUGUUGUGCCAGAAGCACCAUGGAUGUGUGUAAGAGGCGUAAGGAAGAUGUAUGGCAUUGUUUGCUCAGGGACAGCAUUCUUGGAUUCUCAGAACAAGCUGUCAACACUCUUACUGGUGACAGUUUAAAAAUUUUAAGAACAAACAUAUAUUCCCAGAUCAUUCACCAAACUGACCAAAAGGAAGAACAGAUACCUUCCUUUUGGAGUCUUCAAGCCAGGAUGACUGAAGAAAUACAAAGGACAACUCUAUCCUCCAGUAGUACUGCCUUUUUUGUCUGGGUAUUAAAGUAUAUUACAUACACUUAGAUGACAAAUAAACCAUAGCUGACAGAUGAAAUGGCAAACCAUGAGUGUGGCCCGAAAAGCAUUUUGGAUUUCCUUCAUGUGACCAGUUCUGCAGUUACCAUGCAAUCACAGUGACUCCAGGAGCAGAGCUGCAGAGUCAAGGCUAUUUUAUUAAAUCAAAAUUUACGUUUUAUGAAGGAAGCAAAUGGAAACAGCGUUAACUAUUUUUUGUAUGUUUUAUUUUCCUGAAGUUAUAAAAGUUUGGAUCAAACUCAUGAAUAUAAACAGGCAAGCUAGUGAAACAUUCUGGCAAGACCCACGCUCCCAGAUCAGGGCUCGAAUCACUGCUGUCCUGCAUGUUAUCAACCACGAUGAAAAAGGAAUUCAGAGGAACACAGACGGAACUCAAAAGUCUAGGCACUGGAGGAAAAAAAAACAAUGUUAACCUUUCCUUAGAUACAUAGACCUGAGAGUUACUGAUGUUCAAGGGGCUGAAACUUUUGUCACGUCACUGGCAGUGAGGGUCAGAAAGGGUCAGUCCUGCAAAAAUCACCUAUAUGAAUGUAUCCUUUGAAACUUCUGCUUGAUUCUUAAAAGCACAUCUCUGCAGAAUUGCAUAGACUGUGGAGUAUGCUGGGAGCUGCUUAUGCAGUACCUACUCUUUAUGUCUAUGUGCUGCCUUCCUGGACCUUAUGGGCUAUGCAAGGGCAUCAGCUGGACACCCGAGUGUACGGGUGAGCGGCUCUGACUCCUGCAACACCACCAGACUUGGUAUGGAGGAAAUUCACAGGCAGGUCACCUGCAAGGCUAAACAACUACAGAAUCCAAAGUGAGUGUUGCCAGGCAUUCAGGCACUGGAAUUGCAAUUUAUUUUUUCUAUUUUUUUGUUUUGUUUUGUUUUAGUUUUCUGGAAUGUGAAAUACUGCCUUUAAAAUCAGUCUGUUUGGGGAGUGAGUGGUGGUGGUGUAAUUUUUGCUUUUGUGAGACUUAUACCUGGCCUAAAACUAUCCUGCGUAUGGGGAGUUCUUCUAGACAUCUGGCUGAGUCCUAAGCAGGGUAGCAUACAGACACUGCUAACCGCAGUAACUUCACUGAUUAACUCAAUAGAUCACUCUCGCUGUGCUGGAAUCAAUGACAGUGGUUAAAGGUCUGUCCAAUUGCUGUCUUUCCAGUAAUGAGUUUAUAAAAAAGCUGCCACCAAAUA